GCAUUCGAAACUGGCAGGCUUGAGUCUUGUAGAGGGGGGUAGAAUUCCAGGUGUAGCGGUGAAAUGCGUAGAGAUCUGGAGGAAUACCGGUGGCGAAGGCGGCCCCCUGGACAAAGACUGACGCUCAGGUGCGAAAGCGUGGGGAGCAAACAGGAUUAGAUACCCUGGUAGUCCACGCCGUAAACGAUGUCUACUUGGAGGUUGUGCCCUUGAGGCGUGGCUUCCGGAGCUAACGCGUUAAGUAGACCGCCUGGGGAGUACGGCCGCAAGGUUAAAACUCAAAUGAAUUGACGGGGGCCCGCACAAGCGGUGGAGCAUGUGGUUUAAUUCGAUGCAACGCGAAGAACCUUAC
Molecule: ribosomal RNA, 352 nt
Filed under: Salmonella enterica subsp. enterica serovar Adelaide
Lineage: Bacteria; Pseudomonadati; Pseudomonadota; Gammaproteobacteria; Enterobacterales; Enterobacteriaceae
Also listed under: 1 other name
Description: bacterial SSU rRNA
Rfam family: Bacterial small subunit ribosomal RNA
Source: RNAcentral